Molecule: long non-coding RNA, 274 nt
Filed under: Homo sapiens (human)
Lineage: Eukaryota; Metazoa; Chordata; Mammalia; Primates; Hominidae
Description: non-protein coding lnc-MTFP1-6:1
Source: RNAcentral
AGAGACUCCAUCUCAAAAAAAAGAAGAAAAAGAAGAAGAAAGGAUAAAUAAUUGGGUGGAUGAAUAAGUGGAUCCAGAAGGAGAAGGCAGGGCUAAUGCUGGCCAUUUCCCUCUGCCUGGGGAGCCCGUGGCAUGUACUCAGGAACAGUUAGGUAACUCUCCACACCCCAGCCCUGCCCCAUUUCACAUUCCAGCCUCAAUUUCUGCAAAGCCCCAGCUGCUGUCUACACCCACUUCCUGCCAGGCCAGUAAUGUACAGAGAUUGGGUUCCUCC